Molecule: long non-coding RNA, 279 nt
Organism: Mastomys coucha (southern multimammate mouse)
Lineage: Eukaryota; Metazoa; Chordata; Mammalia; Rodentia; Muridae
Exons: 3
Source: RefSeq, a predicted model, not a curated record
UGCUCAGAGGGGAAAGCGACGACCUGUUACCAUUCCUAACCAGUUACCUGCAAUGGAGCCUCAAUGUGUAUACAAACCAUGCUUAAAUGCACCCAAGACUUACCUGCUCCCCAUGACCCCUUCAUAACUUCAAAAUGAAUACCACCUGGCAGACUUCCACAUUACCAAGCUUGAGUUUCAGCACAAGUUUUCAGCAAGAUGAUGGAAGAGAUGAAGAGACAAGUUGGGGGAAAAAGAAGGAAAGAGAAAGAAAAUCUCAUUCAUACAGUGAGAGUAAAG